Molecule: ribosomal RNA, 254 nt
Filed under: uncultured bacterium
Lineage: Bacteria
Description: partial 16S ribosomal RNA
Rfam family: Bacterial small subunit ribosomal RNA
Source: RNAcentral
CACGUAGGGGGCAAGCGUUGUCCGGAAUCAUUGGGCGUAAAGAGCUCGUAGGCGGCUCAGUAAGUCGGGUGUGAAACCUCCAGGCUCAACCUGGAGACGCCACCCGAUACUGCUGUGGCUAGAGUCCAGUAGGGGAGUGUGGAAUUCCCGGUGUAGCGGUGAAAUGCGCAGAUAUCGGGAGGAACACCAGUGGCGAAAGCGGCUUCCUGGACCAAUACUGACACUAAGGUGCGAAAGCGUGGGGAGCAAACAGG